UACGGAGGAUGCGAGCGUUAUCCGGAUUUAUUGGGUUUAAAGGGUGCGUAGGCGGCUUUUUAAGUCGGCGGUGAAAUUUUGCAGCUCAACUGUAAAAGUGCCUUCGAAACUGGUUUCCUUGAGUGUAGAUGAAGUAGGCGGAAUUUGUGGUGUAGCGGUGAAAUGCAUAGAUAUCACGAGGAACUCCGAUUGCGCAGGCAGCUUACUAAACCAUAACUGACGCUCAGGCACGAAGGCGUGGGGAUCAAACAGGAUUAGAUACCCCUGUAGUCCCU
This 275-nucleotide ribosomal RNA is filed under the name uncultured prokaryote. RNAcentral's name for it is "partial 16S ribosomal RNA". It matches the Rfam family "Bacterial small subunit ribosomal RNA", at positions 524 to 798 of the family's 1533-position model. The record is from RNAcentral.